Molecule: long non-coding RNA, 501 nt
Organism: Dama dama (fallow deer)
Lineage: Eukaryota; Metazoa; Chordata; Mammalia; Artiodactyla; Cervidae
Exons: 4
Source: RefSeq, a predicted model, not a curated record
GACCAUACACCAAACAGAAACAGAAAAACAAGUGGUGCACGGAGGGGCUGAGCGUUGACCUUUGCGCUGGGGGCCCAGAGGCCACGGGAAAUGGCCAGGGCUCAACAAAGGCUUCAGAGGCGGGAAUGUGAACUAGGUCGUUCUGGGAGAUUGGAAAAGGAAACAGAAGAGCUGAAGUGGGAAGAGUUCCAGUUAUUUAUUGAAACUCAUCUGAUUUCUCCUUUGUGGAGAAGUUUAUGACAUGAUGACCCAGACUGUACUCAGGACUUGAGCUGCCACAGUUCAGAGAAUUGACAGCAAAGAAAUGGGAACAAGUGCACCCUGGAACUGAAGAUUAACUACUGUACCUAAAACGACCAACGACCAAGAUGAUGCUAGUCAGACUACUGAUGAUAAUUGGAAGAUGAGUGUACUGUUUCUGCAUGUAACGCCCCCUACACACACACUUUGUCUAUAAAAACUUUCACCCCCUGCUUUUCAGGAGUGGAGGGAAGUCGGCCU